UACGUAGGUGGCAAGCGUUAUCCGGAUUUAUUGGGCGUAAAGGGAACGCAGGCGGUCUUUUAAGUCUGAUGUGAAAGCCUUCGGCUUAACCGGAGUAGUGCAUUGGAAACUGGGAGACUUGAGUGCAGAAGAGGAGAGUGGAACUCCAUGUGUAGCGGUGAAAUGCGUAGAUAUAUGGAAGAGCACCAGUGGCGAAAGCGGCUCUCUGGUCUGUAACUGACACUGAGGCUCGAAAGCGUGGGGAGCAAACAGG
This 253-nucleotide ribosomal RNA is filed under the name uncultured bacterium. RNAcentral's name for it is "partial 16S ribosomal RNA". It matches the Rfam family "Bacterial small subunit ribosomal RNA", at positions 524 to 776 of the family's 1533-position model. The record is from RNAcentral.